RNAcentral lists this ribosomal RNA (947 nucleotides) under uncultured bacterium. Its description in RNAcentral is "bacterial SSU rRNA". It matches the Rfam family "Bacterial small subunit ribosomal RNA", at positions 534 to 1482 of the family's 1533-position model. The record is from RNAcentral.
GUGAUCAGGUAUCGGAUUACUGGGCGUAAGCGUGCGCAGGCGGUUUUGUAAGACAGGCGUGAAAUCCCCGGGCUUAACCCGGGAACUGCGCUUGUGACUGCAAGACUAGAGUACGGCAGAGGGGGGUAGAAUUCCACGUGUAGCAGUGAAAUGCGUAGAUAUGUGGAGGAAUACCGAUGGCGAAGGCAGCCCCCUGGGUCGACACUGACGCUCAUGCACGAAAGCGUGGGGAGCAAACAGGAUUAGAUACCCUGGUAGUCCACGCCCUAAACGAUGUCAACUAGGUGUUGGGGAAGGAGACUUCUUUAGUACCGCAGCUAACGCGCUAAGUUGACCGCCUGGGGAGUACGGUCGCAAGAUUAAAACUCAAAGGAAUUGACGGGGACCCGCACAAGCGGUGGAUUAUGUGGAUUAAUUCGAUGCAACGCGAAAAACCUUACCUACCCUUGACAUGUCAGGAAGAUUGCAGAGAUGCGAUUGUGCCCGAAAGGGAACCUGAACACAGGUGCUGCAUGGCUGUCGUCAGCUCGUGUCGUGAGAUGUUGGGUUAAGUCCCGCAACGAGCGCAACCCUUGUCAUUAAUUGCCAUCAUUCGGUUGGGCACUUUAAUGAGACUGCCGGUGAUAAACCGGAGGAAGGUGGGGAUGACGUCAAGUCCUCAUGGCCCUUAUGGGUAGGGCUUCACACGUAAUACAAUGGUCGGUACAGAGGGUCGCCAACCCGCGAGGGGGAGCCAAUCUCAGAAAGCCGAUCGUAGUCCGGAUCGGAGUCUGCAACUCGACUCCGUGAAGUCGGAAUCGCUAGUAAUCGCGGAUCAGCAUGUCGCGGUGAAUACGUUCCCGGGUCUUGUACACACCGCCCGUCACACCAUGGGAGUGGAAUCUGGCAGAAGUAGUAGCCUAACCGCAAGAGGGCGCUUACCACGCUGGGAAUCGAAUUCCCGCGCG